RNAcentral lists this ribosomal RNA (270 nucleotides) under uncultured bacterium. RNAcentral's name for it is "partial 16S ribosomal RNA". It matches the Rfam family "Bacterial small subunit ribosomal RNA", at positions 28 to 297 of the family's 1533-position model. The record is from RNAcentral.
GACGAACGCUGGCGGCGUGCUUAACACAUGCAAGUCGAGCGAGGCUCUCUCCUUCGGGAGGGAUGCCCUAGCGGCGAACGGGUGAGUAACACGUGGGCAACCUGCCCCUAGCACUGGGAUAACUUCGGGAAACCGAGGCUAAUACCGGAUAUGACCUCUGAGGGCAUCCUCGGAGGUGUAAAGGAUUCUGGCUAGGGAUGGGCCCGCGGCCUAUCAGCUUGUUGGUGAGGUAACGGCCCACCAAGGCGACGACGGGUAGCCGGCCUGAGA